GGGGGCAUAGCUCAGUUGGGAGAGCAGCAGACUGAAGUCACCUCAACAUUCUGAAGGUCCCGCGUUCAAUCCGCGGUGCCCCCA
Sphagnurus paluster is the source of this 84-nucleotide non-coding RNA. Lineage: Eukaryota; Fungi; Basidiomycota; Agaricomycetes; Agaricales; Lyophyllaceae. The record is from the annotation of a GenBank genome assembly.